UACGGAAGGCAGCAGUGGGGAAUAUUGCACAAUGGGCGCAAGCCUGAUGCAGCCAUGCCGCGUGUAUGAAGAAGGCCUUCGGGUUGUAAAGUACUUUCAGUCGUGAGGAAGGUGUUAAGGUUAAUAACCUUAGCAAUUGACGUUAGCGACAGAAGAAGCACCGGCUAACUCCGUGCCAGCAGCCGCGGUAAUACGGAGGGUGCGAGCGUUAAUCGGAAUUACUGGGCGUAAAGGGCACGCAGGCGGUUAAUUAAGUUGGAUGUGAAAUCCCCGGGCUUAACCUGGGAAUGGCAUUCAAGACUGGUUAGCUAGAGUCUUGUAGAGGGGGUAGAAUUCCAUGUGUAGCGGUGAAAUGCGUAGAGAUGUGGAGGAAUACCGGUGGGCGAAAGGCGGCCCCCUGGGACAAAGGACUGACGCUCAUGUGCGAAAGCGUGGGGAGCAAACAGGGAUUAGAUACC
Molecule: ribosomal RNA, 458 nt
Filed under: uncultured bacterium
Lineage: Bacteria
Description: bacterial SSU rRNA
Rfam family: Bacterial small subunit ribosomal RNA
Source: RNAcentral